CUACAAACGAGAUAAUUUGGCGAGAAAUAACGAACUACCGAUGGAUUUCUGCCAGAAUCAAGAAUCAAACAUGAUGACCAACAACAACACAAGAAGAUUGUUCCAGCGGUUCUCCAAAUAUCAAGGACUUGCAGUUGUUCUUGAUGAGGAGGAGGACGCUCUAUUCAGAGCUAGUCCAGCCGCUUACAAAGUGUCUAAGACUGCCUCUGAGAAUAACCAGAUUUCUCAGGUUGAGAGUGUUUCUCCAAAAGACACUUUCUCUGGGAACGACGGUGUCUCUGUGGUAGUUUUCCUACAUGAGAGUGAUGGUGUCUCUGAGACGUUUCUUUGCUCUGAGACUGACACCUCCUUUCCGACAAACCGUGUCUCUGUGAUGGACACCUUCUCUGAGAUUGACUCUGUCUCUCAGAUUGAAGGUGUUGCUCCAGUGGACACUUUCUCUGAGACUGAUGAUGUCUCUCCAACUGAUGGUGUUCCUCCAAUGGACACCUUUUAUGAAACUGAAGCUGUCUCUCAGAUUGAUGGUGUGCCUUUAACGCACACUGUCUCUGAGACUGACACUGUCUCUCAGAUCGAUAGAGUUCCUAUUAUGGACACUUUCUCUGAGAUUGACUCUGUCACACAUCACAACCAAUACCCACCCAGCACAAGUAAGAUGUACUCUUACUUUGAGUAUCGCAGGAAGAAGGCUGACCCUACAAACACAAGAAGACUGAUUCAGCGUUUUUCUGAAUAUCAAGGACUUGCAGUUGUUCUUGAUGAGGAAGAAGAUGAUAUAUUCAGGGCGAGUCCAGCUUUCAAAGUGUCUAAGACUGCCUCUGAGACUAACCAGAUUUCUCAGAUUGAGAGUGUUUCUCCAAAAGACACUUUCUCUGAGAAUGACGGCGUCUCUCAGGGUGAUGGUGUGCCUUC
Long non-coding RNA from Danio rerio (zebrafish), 912 nucleotides. The record is from Ensembl. Lineage: Eukaryota; Metazoa; Chordata; Actinopteri; Cypriniformes; Danionidae.